This 500-nucleotide ribosomal RNA is filed under the name uncultured bacterium. RNAcentral describes it as "partial 16S ribosomal RNA". It matches the Rfam family "Bacterial small subunit ribosomal RNA", at positions 30 to 523 of the family's 1533-position model. The record is from RNAcentral.
AUUGAACGCUGGCGGCAUGCCUUACACAUGCAAGUCGAACGGCAGCACGGGAGCAAUCCUGGUGGCGAGUGGCGAACGGGUGAGUAAUAUAUCGGAACGUGCCCAGUCGUGGGGGAUAACGUAGCGAAAGCUACGCUAAUACCGCAUACGAUCUAUGGAUGAAAGCGGGGGAUCGCAAGACCUCGCGCGAUUGGAGCGGCCGAUAUCAGAUUAGGUAGUUGGUGAGGUAAAGGCUCACCAAGCCGACGAUCUGUAGCUGGUCUGAGAGGACGACCAGCCACACUGGGACUGAGACACGGCCCAGACUCAUACGGGAGGCAGCAGUGGGGAAUUUUGGACAAUGGGCGCAAGCCUGAUCCAGCAAUGCCGCGUGCAGGAUGAAGGCCUUCGGGUUGUAAACUGCUUUUGUACGGAACGAAACGGUGAGCUCUAAUACAGUUUGCUAAUGACGGUACCGUAAGAAUAAGCACCGGCUAACUACGUGCCAGCCGCCGCAGUAA